This 1378-nucleotide ribosomal RNA is filed under the name uncultured Helicobacter sp. RNAcentral describes it as "16S ribosomal RNA". It matches the Rfam family "Bacterial small subunit ribosomal RNA". Lineage: Bacteria; Pseudomonadati; Campylobacterota; Epsilonproteobacteria; Campylobacterales; Helicobacteraceae. The record is from RNAcentral.
UGAACGCUGGCGGCGUGCCUAAUACAUGCAAGUCGAACGAUGAAGCUCUAGCUUGCUAGAGUGGAUUAGUGGCGCACGGGUGAGUAAUGCAUAGAUAACAUGCCCUUUAGUCUAGGAUAGCCAUUGGAAACGAUGAUUAAUACUGGAUACUCCUUACGAGGGAAAGUUUUUCGCUAAAGGAUUGGUCUAUGUCCUAUCAGCUUGUUGGUGAGGUAAUGGCUCACCAAGGCUAUGACGGGUAUCCGGCCUGAGAGGGUGAACGGACACACUGGAACUGAGACACGGUCCAGACUCCUACGGGAGGCAGCAGUAGGGAAUAUUGCUCAAUGGGGGAAACCCUGAAGCAGCAACGCCGCGUGGAGGAUGAAGGUUUUCGGAUUGUAAACUCCUUUUGUUAGAGAAGAUAAUGACGGUAUCUAACGAAUAAGCACCGGCUAACUCCGUGCCAGCAGCCGCGGUAAUACGGAGGGUGCAAGCGUUACUCGGAAUCACUGGGCGUAAAGAGCGCGUAGGCGGGAUAGCAAGUCAGAUGUGAAAUCCUAUGGCUUAACCAUAGAACUGCAUUUGAAACUGUUAUUCUAGAGUAUGGGAGAGGUAGGUGGAAUUCUUGGUGUAGGGGUAAAAUCCGUAGAGAUCAAGAGGAAUACUCAUUGCGAAGGCGACCUGCUAGAACAUAACUGACGCUGAUGCGCGAAAGCGUGGGGAGCAAACAGGAUUAGAUACCCUGGUAGUCCACGCCCUAAACGAUGAAUGCUAGUUGUUGUGGAGCUUGUCUCUGCAGUAAUGCAGCUAACGCAUUAAGCAUUCCGCCUGGGGAGUACGGUCGCAAGAUUAAAACUCAAAGGAAUAGACGGGGACCCGCACAAGCGGUGGAGCAUGUGGUUUAAUUCGAAGAUACACGAAGAACCUUACCUAGGCUUGACAUUGAUAGAAUCCGCUAGAGAUAGUGGAGUGCUAGCUUGCUAGAACUUGAAAACAGGUGCUGCACGGCUGUCGUCAGCUCGUGUCGUGAGAUGUUGGGUUAAGUCCCGCAACGAGCGCAACCCUCGUCCUUAGUUGCUAACUAUUCGGUAGAGCACUCUAAGGAGACUGCCUUCGCAAGGAGGAGGAAGGUGAGGAUGACGUCAAGUCAUCAUGGCCCUUACGCCUAGGGCUACACACGUGCUACAAUGGGAAGCACAAAGAGAUGCAAUAUUGUGAAAUGGAGCAAAUCUAUAAAACUUCUCUCAGUUCGGAUUGUAGUCUGCAACUCGACUACAUGAAGCUGGAAUCGCUAGUAAUCGUGAAUCAGCCAUGUCACGGUGAAUACGUUCCCGGGUCUUGUACUCACCGCCCGUCACACCAUGGGAGUUGUAUUCGCCUUAAGUCGGGAUACUAA